This 690-nucleotide ribosomal RNA is filed under the name uncultured Alphaproteobacteria bacterium. RNAcentral describes it as "bacterial SSU rRNA". It matches the Rfam family "Bacterial small subunit ribosomal RNA", at positions 34 to 772 of the family's 1533-position model. The record is from RNAcentral. Lineage: Bacteria; Pseudomonadati; Pseudomonadota; Alphaproteobacteria.
CGCUGGCGGCAGGCCUAAUACAUGCAAGUCGAGCGCACCUUCGGGUGAGCGGCGGACGGGUGAGUAACGCGUGGGAACGUGCCCUUUGGUUCGGAACAACACAGGGAAACUUGUGCUAAUACCGAAUGUGCCCUUCGGGGGAAAGAUUUAUCGCCAUUGGAGCGGCCCGCGUUGGAUUAGGUAGUUGGUGGGGUAAAGGCCCACCAAGCCGACGAUCCAUAGCUGGUCUGAGAGGAUGAUCAGCCACACUGGGACUGAGACACGGCCCAGACUCCUACGGGAGGCAGCAGUAGGGAAUCUUGCGCAAUGGGCGAAAGCCUGACGCAGCCAUGCCGCGUGAAUGAUGAAGGUCUUAGGAUUGUAAAAUUCUUUCACCGGGGAAGAUAAUGACGGUACCCGGAGAAGAAGCCCCGGCUAACUUCGUGCCAGCAGCCGCGGUAAUACGAAGGGGGCUAGCGUUGCUCGGAAUUACUGGGCGUAAAGGGCGCGUAGGCGGAUAGUUUAGUCAGAGGUGAAAGCCCAGGGCUCAACCUUGGAACUGCCUUUGAUACUGGCUAUCUUGAGUUCGGGAGAGGUGAGUGGAAUGCCGAGUGUAGAGGUGAAAUUCGUAGAUAUUCGGCGGAACACCAGUGGCGAAGGCGACUCACUGGCCCGAUACUGACGCUGAGGCGCGAAAGCGUGGGGAGCAAA